RNAcentral lists this transfer RNA (77 nucleotides) under Erwinia rhapontici. RNAcentral describes it as "tRNA-Ala". It matches the Rfam family "tRNA". Rfam says of the family: Transfer RNA (tRNA) molecules are approximately 80 nucleotides in length. Their secondary structure includes four short double-helical elements and three loops (D, anti-codon, and T loops). Further hydrogen bonds mediate the characteristic L-shaped molecular structure. tRNAs have two regions of fundamental functional importance: the anti-codon, which is responsible for specific mRNA codon recognition, and the 3' end, to which the tRNAs corresponding amino acid is attached (by aminoacyl-tRNA synthetases). tRNAs cope with the degeneracy of the genetic code in two manners: having more than one tRNA (with a specific anti-codon) for a particular amino acid; and 'wobble' base-pairing, i.e. permitting non-standard base-pairing at the 3rd anti-codon position. Lineage: Bacteria; Pseudomonadati; Pseudomonadota; Gammaproteobacteria; Enterobacterales; Erwiniaceae. The record is from RNAcentral.
GGGGCUAUAGCUCAGCUGGGAGAGCGCCUGCCUUGCACGCAGGAGGUCAGCGGUUCGAUCCCGCUUAGCUCCACCAU